RNAcentral lists this ribosomal RNA (236 nucleotides) under Klebsiella pneumoniae. RNAcentral describes it as "partial 16S ribosomal RNA". It matches the Rfam family "Bacterial small subunit ribosomal RNA", at positions 995 to 1228 of the family's 1533-position model. The record is from RNAcentral. Lineage: Bacteria; Pseudomonadati; Pseudomonadota; Gammaproteobacteria; Enterobacterales; Enterobacteriaceae.
AGUGAAUUGAAAGAGGAACGACCACACUUUGUGUGGAGUCAGCACAGGUGGUGCACGGCCGUCGUCAGCUCGUGCCGUGAGGUGUUGGGUUAAGUCCCGCAACGAGCGCAACCCCUGCUAUUAGUUGCCAGCGGUAAGGCCGGGCACUCUAGGAGGACCGCCGCCGACGAGGCGGAGGAAGGGGGGGAUGACGUCAGGUAUCGUGCCCCUUAUAUCUUGGGCGACACACGCGCUAC